AUACGUAGGUGACAAGCGUUAUCCGGAUUUACUGGGCGUAAAGGGCGUGUAGGCGGUCUUGCAAGUCAGAAGUGAAAUUCCUGAGCUCAACUCGGGCGCUGCUUCUGAAACUGCAGGACUUGAGUGCUGGAGGGGAUAGCGGAAUUCCUAGUGGAGCGGUAAAAUGCGCAGAUAUUAGGAAGAACACCGGUGGCGAAGGCGGCUAUCUGGACAGUAACGGACGCUGAGGCGCGAAAGCGUGGGGAGCAAACAGGAUUAGAUCCCCUGGCAGUCCACGCCGUAAACGAUGAAUACUAGGUGUAGGGGGUAUCGACUCCCUCUGUGCCGCAGUUAACACAAUAAGUAUUCCGCCUGGGGAGUACGGCCGCAAGGUUGAAACUUAAAGGAAUUGACGGGG
RNAcentral lists this ribosomal RNA (397 nucleotides) under uncultured bacterium. Its description in RNAcentral is "partial 16S ribosomal RNA". It matches the Rfam family "Bacterial small subunit ribosomal RNA", at positions 523 to 918 of the family's 1533-position model. The record is from RNAcentral.